CAGGCUGUCGUAUAGUGGUAGUAUUCAAGGCUGGGGGUCUUGCGGUCCGGGUUCGAUUCCCGGCAGCCUGA
Molecule: transfer RNA, 71 nt
Filed under: Candidatus Wolfebacteria bacterium RIFOXYB1_FULL_54_12
Lineage: Bacteria; Candidatus Wolfeibacteriota
Also listed under: 1 other name
Description: tRNA-Pro
Rfam family: tRNA
About the family: Transfer RNA (tRNA) molecules are approximately 80 nucleotides in length. Their secondary structure includes four short double-helical elements and three loops (D, anti-codon, and T loops). Further hydrogen bonds mediate the characteristic L-shaped molecular structure. tRNAs have two regions of fundamental functional importance: the anti-codon, which is responsible for specific mRNA codon recognition, and the 3' end, to which the tRNAs corresponding amino acid is attached (by aminoacyl-tRNA synthetases). tRNAs cope with the degeneracy of the genetic code in two manners: having more than one tRNA (with a specific anti-codon) for a particular amino acid; and 'wobble' base-pairing, i.e. permitting non-standard base-pairing at the 3rd anti-codon position.
Source: RNAcentral